Molecule: long non-coding RNA, 1663 nt
Organism: Chelonia mydas (Green sea turtle)
Lineage: Eukaryota; Metazoa; Chordata; Testudines; Cheloniidae
Exons: 3
Source: RefSeq, a predicted model, not a curated record
GCUGGGUAUAUAAUGAUCUUCCAGAUGCUCAGAAUUACAUCUCCCACAAUCAAAAUACAGUGCAGGGAUAUAAUAGGAUUUACUACUACCAAGAUUAAAGCUGAAAAUCCACCAACACAAAGGCUUAUUUAAAAAAGAAUGGAUGGUUGCAACACUUGAAGAAUCUGACCAGGAGCUUUGAACCUUUCAAGGAGGAAAUAGCAGUGGGAAUACAAACAAAGAUGAAAAUCAUCAUCAGAUGGUACCCCAUGCAAUUCAGAAGGAGGUGGAAACAACAGCUGGCCAUUACGAAGGAAAAUAUUCAAUACUGGGGAUGAAAAAUUCUAUGAAAUAAAUUCCAGAAAAUCAUGAGCAUGGACUUCUCUGGGUCACUCUGACCUCUGUGUGCGUAGAUAUUAGUAUCAAGGAUGUGGUAGUAUGUAUGCAUAAAACCAAUUAACUUUUUCCAGCCUUUUCAGGCUCAUUUGCUACCUUAAUCAGUCUCUAAGAGCAGGUGGUUAAAGAGAGAGUUUAAUCUUUUUUUUUUUUUUUUUUAAAUGUAAUUAUUGCCAUCUAUCCAAAUAAUUUUCAAUGGCUCAUUUUCCAUAUCCAAUUAAAGACAAGAGCAACAAUGCGACACUGGCAGCAAGUUAACAAUGGAUCCCCAGGAUCACACAGGCCUAUGUUUGUUUGAAAUAAAACAAGAUUCUGGCAUGAGUUUAUCACCUUAUGCCCAACAGCUCUGGUGAAAGCUAAGAAGGAAAAAGGACCCAAGACAGUAUUAUGAAAACACAGUCUGAUGGAAAAUUAUAGGUAAUACAAUCUGCAAGCUAUUUAGAAACGGAUAUAUCUGAUGGGGGGGAGAGAAGCACUGUACAAUAGUUUAAGUGGAGAGUUUUGGUUCUUAAAUUUAGCAGAAGCAAGCUUUUAAUUUUGUUUUUUUGUAAGAUCACUGCCACCAUAUAAAUAUGCAUAGCAUGUUUUGGGAGGCAGAAAGAUGGUACCAAGACAGCUUGUGCUUAUGGGCAAGGCUACCACAUCCAUUAGCCCAAAAAGUUUCCUGUUUUCAACAUCAGCUAAACUCUGGAUUAAAGCAUUAGGUCCUCAUCCAACUCCCAUUGACAACAAUGGCACACUGUAAGUACCCUCCCUCUCAUCCUGGGAGGGAACCCUCCAAGACAGCGUGAAGGGAUGAUGAUAGGACAGUGUGAGGAAGCUUGCAUUGUUGUUGCCCAGGCUGUACCUAUCCUGUGGAUACAUAAAAGCCCUUCAGGGGAGUCAAAAUAGACCCUUCUUCAUCACUAAAUUACUUUAUUACAAAUAAUCCAUCAUUCUUCCCCUCCCCCCAACUAAUAUUUUUAUCUGUUUCUCUGGGGUUGACCAAGUAUGGUUACAUCUUUCCGGUCACUUAACUAGAGGAAAUAGUUUAAGACAGCACAGUACAUUCUUUAAGCUCUUAUUGGUGCUGUCAAUGCUCUAGGCUUUUCAAAGGGAGACGGAAAUGUAAACACAGCUGCUUAUUGAAACUACAUAAAACAAAAGCUACAAAACAAACUUCCUUUAGCUACAAAAAGAUCGCAAGUUUGUACUCACACACACUAAAUUGAAACAUGAUUCAAAUGGAACACCCCUGUAGCCCUAAGAAAGUCACUUGUCCAUAUCACGAUAAAUGUUUAUUGAGUGC